RNAcentral lists this ribosomal RNA (493 nucleotides) under Xanthomonas citri pv. citri. Its description in RNAcentral is "SSU rRNA". It matches the Rfam family "Eukaryotic small subunit ribosomal RNA", at positions 1192 to 1709 of the family's 1831-position model. The record is from RNAcentral. Lineage: Bacteria; Pseudomonadati; Pseudomonadota; Gammaproteobacteria; Lysobacterales; Lysobacteraceae.
AAUUUGACUCAACACGGGGAAACUCACCAGGUCCAGACACAAUAAGGAUUGACAGAUUGAUAGCUCUUUCUUGAUUUUGUGGGUGGUGGUGCAUGGCCGUUCUUAGUUGGUGGAGUGAUUUGUCUGCUUAAUUGCGAUAACGAACGAGACCUUGACCUACUAAAUAGCUCUACUUGCGAUUGCAGGUAGCUAGCUUCUUAGAGGGACUAUCUAUUACAAGUAGAUGGAAGUUCGAGGCAAUAACAGGUCUGUGAUGCCCUUAGACGUUCUGGGCCGCACGCGCGCUACACUGACGGAGCCAGCGAGUCGACCAAGCCCGAGAGGGCUAGGUAAUCUUGUGAAACUCCGUCGUGCUGGGGAUAGAGCAUUGCAAUUAUUGCUCUUCAACGAGGAAUUCCUAGUAAGCGCAAGUCAUCAGCUUGCGUUGAUUACGUCCCUGCCCUUUGUACACACCGCCCGUCGCUACUACCGAUUGAAUGGUUUAGUGAGACCU